GCCCCUUAUUAAUCUACUAAUGAGUUCUGAUAAAGAGAGAGAAAAAAAAGCAGACACCAAAGGUUCAUCAAUUCCUCUGCAACUACAUACCGCAUGAGUGACACAUAUUAUUCAGGCUAGUUUCCGCUUCUCCUUUCACCUGCGAAACAUCAUCACCAACUCCUAAUAUGAACGAAACAUAUAGGCAGAAAAAUAAACAAAGCUGAAAUAACCUUUAAGCCAUUCCACGCUUGCGUUUAGCCUUUUCCCAUUCAUCAAGUAAACAAGUGACACCUUCUUCAAGUGUAGCCUUCCUGUCUUCUUUUAAGUUCCAUAGCUCUGUUGU
Molecule: long non-coding RNA, 325 nt
Filed under: Brassica rapa (field mustard)
Lineage: Eukaryota; Viridiplantae; Streptophyta; Magnoliopsida; Brassicales; Brassicaceae
Description: long non-coding RNA (BRAP_LNC004249)
Source: RNAcentral